UCGACGUUUGAAGUGAAUGGAAUAUCUCAAAGACACGUGCAAAAGGCUCAGGACUAAAACCAGCCACACGUCGAGAGAGUAAACCAGAGGAUCGGCAGAUCUAACGGAGGAAUAUAUCAACACGACGAGGACGGAAGUCAAACAGGUUCUGCUUCGGAUCUCGACGCUGUGUUUCCGUGUCCCAGCUCGGGAUUAAUGCUAAUCGUGAUAGGGGUUUUGUGCUUUUGAACACCUAUGCUGUUAGCAUUAGUCCUGCGCUGGCGACCAAACCUCCAAACCCAGCAGUCUGAGGAUCAUAAAGCACGGCACUGCGUUGUGUUCAUGCAGUUUGUGAGUUGGACAUUCACACUUCAGCAGAAGCGACUCCAUUAGGAAAUAAUCACAAAUAGCUUAAAAGUUAAAGUCACCUGUUCGCUGUAUAGUCAAAUCGUUCUUGCAGUUUCUGUAUGAAUUGAAAGCAAAUAAAAAGAAACUUGCAAACA
Ctenopharyngodon idella (grass carp) is the source of this 482-nucleotide long non-coding RNA. RefSeq lists it as uncharacterized. The record is from RefSeq and is a predicted model, not a curated record. The transcript is spliced from 2 exons. Lineage: Eukaryota; Metazoa; Chordata; Actinopteri; Cypriniformes; Xenocyprididae.